AAUAAAACGUGUCGCUCGUGACCAGUGUUCCGAGAAACUCGGGUUAGAUACAUUUCCACUGCUAUCUCGUGAUUGCGGGUCAAGAAACAUUUUACAAUUUGUCCAAUGACAAAAAGAAAAAGAGAAAGAGAGAGAUGAACGAGACUACCCGUUGGCAAGCACGAGAUUAUAAUAAUCUCACGGAGAGCAAAAUAUGUGACAAAAGUUGCAGUUAGAGAGUAGCGUGAAUGCAGAACAGUAUAUGACAACAGCUAGCUAGUACUCAUCGAAUCUACAAAAAGGUAAGUGACAAUAAUAAUUUUGCUUCAUUUACGUUAAUUCUUGAGGGUAAUGCUUGAGAUGUUAAUUUCUGUC
RNAcentral lists this unclassified non-coding RNA (354 nucleotides) under Bombus terrestris (buff-tailed bumblebee). Its description in RNAcentral is "misc RNA ENSBTSG00005035501.1". Lineage: Eukaryota; Metazoa; Arthropoda; Insecta; Hymenoptera; Apidae. The record is from RNAcentral.